GACACAACAACGAUUCCAUUCAAUUAGAAGUUAAGAUUGCCACUUGGACACUUUGGGCUUCUCCUACCUUGAAGUCAACAGGCUAAGAAGAGAGUUACUUGGCUGGGGCGAUUGACCCAGAUUAUCAAGAUGAAAUCAGUCUACUACUCCACAACUGAGGAAGCCAAGCCACACUGCUAACUGAUGAGAGACCAGCUUGAAAGAGGGAGGACCUGCCAAUUGCCAUCAGCACAACUCCAGAUAUAUGGGAGUCAGGCUUUAGGGCAAAAACCGGGGAUCACAGAAUGCUUGCUCAAUCAACUUUGCUCAUCCAAAAUCACAAAAAUCGCCUCAAAAAAUGUUGAUGAUAAUUUAAUUUUCUUCACUCUCCAUGAAGAUGUUAGAUAAUGCUCACUCUGGGUGAGAAUAAAAGCCAGACUCAUCAAU
Molecule: long non-coding RNA, 426 nt
Filed under: Homo sapiens (human)
Lineage: Eukaryota; Metazoa; Chordata; Mammalia; Primates; Hominidae
Description: HSALNT0070749
Source: RNAcentral